This 446-nucleotide ribosomal RNA is filed under the name uncultured bacterium. Its description in RNAcentral is "partial 16S ribosomal RNA". It matches the Rfam family "Bacterial small subunit ribosomal RNA", at positions 29 to 506 of the family's 1533-position model. The record is from RNAcentral.
AACGAACGCUAUCGGUAUGCUUAACACAUGCAAGUCGGACGGACUAACAAGGGCUUGUUCCUCUUAGUUAGUGGCAGACGGGUGAGUAACACGUGGGCAUCUGCCCCUCCGUACGCAAUAACUUUUAGAAAUAAAAGCUAAUACCGUAUAUUCACUACAGAGGAAAGAUUUAUCGCUGAUGGGUGAGCCCGCGGGAGAUUAGGUAGGUGGAGAGGUAACUGCUCACCAAGCCGAAGAUCGGUAGCUGGUAUUAACGGAUGAUCCGCAACCCUGGGACUGGGACACGUCGCGAACUCUGACGGGAGGGAGCAGUGGGGAAUAAUGGACACUGGGCGAAAGCAUGAGCCAGCAAGACCGUGAAGGUGAUAAGGUCCCAAGGAUUGUAAAGCUCUUUUAGCAAGGAAGAUAAGGACGUUACUUGCAGAAAAAGCCCCGGUAAACUCCGG